This is an RNA transcript of Stegostoma tigrinum, 4749 nucleotides long. RefSeq lists it as uncharacterized. Lineage: Eukaryota; Metazoa; Chordata; Chondrichthyes; Orectolobiformes; Stegostomatidae. The transcript is spliced from 21 exons. The record is from RefSeq and is a predicted model, not a curated record.
UCGGUGUUAACUGGACACCAAGUUUGCAGACCCUCCCCCAUCGCAAUCCCUAUAAAAACUCACCAGCUCCCUGUUGCACAGUAAUUGUGCUGAGAAGUGAUCAAAAAAAAAUGCUAUCUGUUCUUACUGGAAAGAUGUGUUCAACCUCCCUUAAACCCUGUAAUCUCGAGACAUGCACAAAGGAGGAGAUUUUGGAAUACUUUGAGAACACCUAUGAUUUGGAUGAAACCCUUUUCAGUGCACUCAAAGAUGAAUCCAGUUUCUACUUGUGCCCAGACCGACUGCGGUUGCCCCUUAUAUUUUACUAUUGCCAUCCUCCAGUGCUCUACAUCAAUAAAUUGUUGCUCACUGGUCUCAUAAAGGAACAAGUGGAUCCCAGUUUUGAAGCUCUGUUUGAGACGGGAGUGGAUGAGAUGUCCUGGGAUGACACGGAGAAUUAUCGAAUGGGCGGAAGUUUUAACUGGCCCAGUUUCUUGGAGUGCAUUGAGUACCGAAGGAAGGUACGGGCCAUUGUUCGCAAAGUCAUCCAGGAAACUCCACUGGAACUUCCAAUAACGGUAGACAGUCCUUGGUGGGCGGUUUUCAUGGGACUGGAACAUGAGCGAAUCCAUGUCGAAACUUCGUCUGUGCUGAUUCGUCAAUUGCCAAUUCACUUGGUUGAAAGGCCACUAGGUUGGAGAUAUGCUGCAUCAAAUAAUGGAUUAGAAGCAUUUGACAACCCUCUGAUCAAAAUCCCAACUUCCCAUGCUACUUAUGGAAAACCAAGGAAUUUCCCAUCUUAUGGCUGGGAUAAUGAAUAUGGACAGAUGACAACAGUUGUCCCAGAGUUUGAAGCCAGCAAAUACCUAAUAACAAAUGGGGAAUAUCUGAAGUUUGUGCAGGCUGGAGGAUAUGGAAAGAAAAUUUACUGGACCAAAGAAGGCUGGGAGUGGAGGACGUUCCGUCAGGCUCAUCAUCCUACAUUCUGGGUCUGUACGAAAGGAUGCAAGUCUGGCUGUGGAGCAGCCCUUGCAAGUUAUUCUCAUUGUCAACCAGAUAAAGCCGCUAAAACCACCAGCGAAGCGAACUGCACAGAAGAACCUCCGAGUGGCAAGCAGAACGGAUGGUGUUUGAAUGAUGUUGAAGAGGUCAUCUCUGUUGAGGAAAGAUUGUCAGAGUACAGGUACAGAGCUAUGUUUGAUAUCCUCCCAAUGCCCUUGGACUGGCCAGUGGAAGUCAACUAUCAUGAAGCAAAAGCAUUUUGUAUGUGGAAAGGCAGUGGAUACCGCCUCCCAACAGAAGCUGAGCAUUAUCUUAUGCGAGUCGGCAGCCAGCCUUUGGGAGAUAGCAUUACUUCUGAUCCAAUAUUUUGUGAUGAUUUAAAGAAGAAAAGUAACAUCAACAUGGCUUUCGGAUCUCCGACGCCCGUGACUAUGUAUCCACCCAAUGAGGCAGGUUUUCAUGAUGCAUUUGGCAAUGUCUGGGUUUGGACAGAAGAUCAUUUUAAUGGCCUUCCAGGGUUUGAUACCACGUACCUGUAUGAUGACUUCUCCAGCCCUUGCUUUGAUGGCAGACAUACAAUAAUUCUGGGUGGUUCUUGGAUCUCGACAGGGGACGAGGCAUCACGGUUUGCAAGGUUCGCCUUCAGGAGGCACUUUUUCCAACAUCUGGGUUUUCGCUUGGUCAGAACAUGUGGUCCAAUGAAAACCUCAGUGAGAGUGGUGAAUACUGAGACAGUUACUCCAGAUAACUCAAUCACUGUUCCCAAGGAGACUGUACAACUGAUCACCGUUUCCAGUGCCAACACUCAGCUGCAGUAUGAGACGGAUGUUGCUGUGCAGGAACAGCUUGAAGUGGAGUACGGAGACCUGAGCAAAGCAGGUUACUACAGCCAGUUGUAUGGAGUGUGCAAACAGGUGGUCAAGGAGCAGCAGCUAGCUGGGAGCACGUGCCUCAUUCUGGGCAGUGGAACUGGCCUCGUCUCCUUCAUGUUAACCCAGUUGUUUUGCAAGGUGAUUGGGAUAGACUAUAGUGGACGAUUCAUUGAAACUGCACAACAACUGAAAUGUUCAGGACACCAUACCUCUAAUGUGAAAGUUCCAGAUUAUUUGGACCGAGAUAGAGUGAUAUUCAAACAGCUAACAUGGAUUCCUAAUGAAGUUGGACAUCAUAGUUUUAUACUCCUCGAUUUCCUGGAUCGUACCCUUAAUCCCUCAGCUUGGCUAGUGCAUCUGUCACGAGUUGUACAAGCAAAAGGUUUGGUUGUCAUCGCCUCAGAAACAUGGAGCAAGAACAACCUAGAGCAAAGAUUUCAAGAACUCAGAAAACAGUUAUCCUUUGUGGAGCAAAAGGAAAUCAAAAGCAGAGGAAAACAAAACAAUAAAGUUACUUAUGUGACCAUCUGGAAACCAUGGCAUCCCAUUGUCUCAGAAUUCAAAUAUAGCAACAACAGAGAUUAGUGGAUGUAUCUUCAUAGCAACAAGAGAAAUAAAGUUGUGAUUAUUAAUAAAGAAGUGAUUCAUCUCAAUGACAUUUCUCCUGGCAGGAUAUGAAAUCUUUCUAUUGUCUCACAUUUCUGAGCUGCCCAACAACUUCAGUCAAACAGGCUUGAUCAUCCCAGCUGCUGCACUGUUCACAUGGGGAGUCUGCAGGUCGAGCGAAUGCGAGCAGCACAGCACGCCUCAGGGUAAUCCGUCAUCCUCCAUACUGAGUGCAACUCGCUGUCAAUAAAAAGAGGGGACACUUUUCUUUAAAGGAAGUUUAAAAUCAUGUUUAAAAACGGUGCAGAAUAGAUCACCAACAUUCAUGGACAAACUUAAAUGUAGUUCCAGUCAGCACAAACUCUACCAGCUUAUUUUAUUUUUAUAUCACAUAAAUAUUGCAGAAAAGCAUAAGAAGAGAAUUUAAGAGGUCUUUCAUUGAUCUUCCUGUGAUCGAUUCCAAAUGCAUUUGAUGUACAAACAUAAAAGAGCAAACCAGACUCUUGACAGAAAUUUGAUUCAGGUGAUUAUUUAAGAAAUGUUGUAACAUAUCUCUAGUUGAAACUGUAACCACCUAUUAGGCAAUCAUUCAUUUUACUGUACUAUUUAUGAAAUUAUUCAUUUUCUGAAGAAGGGUCUCGACCCAAAAUGUCAGCUUUCCUGCUCAGCCUGCUGUGUUCAACCAGCUCUAAACAGUGUUAUCUCAGAUUCUCCAGCAUUGGCAGUUCCUAUUAUCUCUCCACCCACUAGUCAACUCAUUUCAAAUCUGUUUGCUGCAUUAAAAGGUUUGUCCUCAUAUCACUGAUUCUGCCAAGCACAUGAAGUCUUUCCUUUAAUGGUUACCCUUCAGGUAUCGGAAACAACUUCCUCUUCAUUUACUUGAAUUAAAUCUUUCAUAAUGUUGAUUACCCCUAUCAAAUUUCUUCUUAACCUUCUUUGCUCCAAGGAGAACAGUCCCAGCUUCACUAGUCUAUGGAUGUGACAAUGAUUCCUUUAUCUAUGGAAUUAUUCCAAUAAAACCCAUCCAAACCCUCUCCAAAAGCGUCACAGCCUUCUUAAGCUGAGAUGCCCAGAAUUCAACUCAGUGUUCCAGCUGGAGCUGGACUAGUAUUUUAUAUAGGAUCAGUACACUUCCUACUUUCUGUACUCUACUAUUUAUGAAGCCCAGAAUUCCUUAUGCUUUAGCAACUUCUUUGUGGUCCUGUCUUGCCACUUUCAAAGAUUUGUGCAUAAACUUCCCCAGGUCCCUGCUGUUGCAAACCGUUUAAAAUUGUGCCAUUCGAGUUGGACUGCCUCACAAUAUUCUCCUCAUCAAUCUAUGUUAAAUUUGAUCUGUCAUAAGUUUAUCCAUUCGUCAGCCUUGAAGUCCAUUAUAAUCUUCCUCACUUCUACCAAUAUUUCUGAGUAAUUUGCAAUUUUGAAAUUGUAUCCAUCAACAAUCCUACCCACAGCCAAAUCCGAAUCAUUAAAAUCAAAUAGAGCAAAUUGUACUUGUACGAUUGGAGCUACAAAUGUCAAGUGUCUGGGUCUUAAUGGCCUGUUAAAAAGAUGAUAAUUGAUGCACUGAUUUUAUUUUACCAAGACUCACUUGAUUCAGAGCAUCCAAUUGGACUAGAAGAUAGGAAGUUUAUUCAAAAAGGAGGGGAGGCUGAAAGCAGGAAACAGCAGGCCAGUUAGCUUAAUAGCUGUCAUUGGGAAAAUGUUAUGAAUUCUUGUUAAAGAAGUUAUAGCAUUGCAUUUAAGUAAGUUCAAGGUAUUCAGGCAGAGUCAACAUGAUUUUUUUGUAAGAAGAAAAUUGUUGUUGAUCAAUUUAUUGGAGUUCUUUGAGGAGGUGAUGUGCUGUGUAUCAAAGGAACUGAGUAGAUGUAUAGUACUUAGAUUUCCAGAAGGCAUUUGAUAAGAUGCCACAUCUAAAGGUUAUUGCAGAAAAUAAAAGCUUGUGGUCUAAGGGUUGCAUAUUAGAAUGGAUAGAGGAUUGAUUGGCAAACAAGCAGAGUGUGCAUAAAUGAUUUUUUUUCACAUUGGGACAAUGUGAUGAGUAAUGUGUUAUAGGGAUCAGUUCCGGGGCCCCUGUUUAGAAUUUUGUAUGUCGAUGGUAGCCAUGAUGUGGAGGCACCGGUGUUGGACUGGGUUGCACAAGGUCAGAACUCUCACCAGGUUGCAGUCCUACAGGUUUAUUUGAAAUCACAAGCUUUCGGAGUGCUGUUCCUUUGUCUGCCCAUUUCUCCCAAUGUGAGUCACCUCCAUUUCCUCUUCUUCUGUAGUUUUCCUGUAGACUGGGUUAUCAAGU